CAAAGGCUUGGUCCUGACUUUACUAUCAACUUUAGCUAAACUUACACAUGCAAGUAUCCGCACCCCUGUGAGAAUGCCCUACAGUUCCCCGCCCGGGAACGAGGAGCCGGUAUCAGGCACACAUUAUUAGCCCACGACACCUUGCUUAGCCACACCCUCAAGGGAACUCAGCAGUGAUAGACAUUAAGCCAUAAGUGAAAACUUGACUUAGUCAAAGCUAACAGGGCCGGUAAAACUCGUGCCAGCCACCGCGGUUAUACGAGAGGCCCAAGUUGACAGUCACCGGCGUAAAGAGUGGUUAAAGAAUAAUUAAAACUAAAGCCGAACACCUUCAAGGCAGUUAUACGCACCCGAAGCCAGAGCCCAACUAGCAAAGUGGCUUUAUCUUCCCUGAACCCGGGGUUAAUUUAAACUAAAAGCCGACACCUUCAGGCAGUUAUACGCACCCGAAGGCCAGAAGCCCAACUACGAAAGUGGCUUUAUCUUUCCUGAACCCACGAGAGCUACGGCACAAACUGGGAUUAGAUACCCCACUAUGCCUAGCCCUAAACAUUGAUAGUACUCUACACCCACUAUCCGCCCGGGAACUACGAGCAUCAGCUUGAAACCCAAAGGACUUGGCGGUGCUUUAGAUCCACCUAGAGGAGCCUGUUCUAGAACCGAUAACCCCCGUUCAACCUCACCUUUUCUUGUUUUCCCCGCCUAUAUACCGCCGUCGUCAGCUUACCCUGUGAAGGACUCAUAGUAAGCAAAAUUGGCACAGCCCAAAACGUCAGGUCGAGGUGUAGCGUAUGGAAAGGGAAGAAAUGGGCUACAUUCCCUAAAAUUAGUGAAUACGGACGAUGCCCUGAAAAAGGCAUCUGAAGGAGGAUUUAGCAGUAAGCAGAAAAUAGAGCGUUCCGCUGAAAUUGGCCCUGAAGCGCGCACACACCGCCCGUCACUCUCCCCAAGCUCAAAAAUUAAUUAACUAAAACCCUAAGAUCGCAAAGGGGAGGCAAGUCGUAACAUGGUAAGUGUACCGGAAGGUGCACUUGGAAAAAU
RNAcentral lists this ribosomal RNA (1041 nucleotides) under Lepidotrigla microptera. RNAcentral's name for it is "12S ribosomal RNA". It matches the Rfam family "Bacterial small subunit ribosomal RNA". The record is from RNAcentral. Lineage: Eukaryota; Metazoa; Chordata; Actinopteri; Perciformes; Triglidae.